UCUGGCAGCCUCUCAUCAAAGGACGUGGUCUUGCUUUGGGUGAGGGUCUGCCUAGAGC
Molecule: microRNA precursor, 58 nt
Filed under: Macaca mulatta (Rhesus monkey)
Lineage: Eukaryota; Metazoa; Chordata; Mammalia; Primates; Cercopithecidae
Description: Mml-Novel-8_pre stem-loop
Source: RNAcentral